AAAAGUUUUAUUGAAAUAAACGUAUUUUUUAUCGAAAAUAAAAUAAAAUAAAAACAAUUUAUUAAAAAAUUUUAUUUUAUUUUAUUAAUUUAUUUAUAUAAUCGGUCUAAUCAAAUAUUUUUCUAAAACUUGAAAAGUAUCCAUUUUAAGAUGCCGCGGAAAAAGUAUAAAGUUGAAAGGCAAGUUAUGCAUUCGCAAAUUUCAUUUCUGAAGUCACAAGUCAAAACCGGGACUUCUAGUUUUGAAUCUUCAAUCUUACGUAUAAAGUUGACUUGGAACGGAGUCGAGUCUAUCACUAUGGCUCCUUAUGCAAGUACCGCCAGGCUCUGGGUGGUAAGUUUCUGCAUGUUUGGUACGCCAAACAUUAAUUUCUGAGCAUCGAAUUUAUUAAACCCCAACACAAAAAUUAAAUCCCAACACAUUAAUUAAACUCUCAAAAACUCUUUCCUUUGGACCCAACUCCCAAACCAACAACAACAUCAACAUAUGCAAAAAAACCCUAUAUAUAUAUAUAUAUAUAUAUAUAAAACCUACCUUUUCAUUUUUCUUAUCAUUUCCCUUCCCGUCUUCUUUUUCCUUUCUUGUUAAAAUUUUCCACAUAAGCAUCCCUAUAUCCAGUUCUUCUGGUACUGUAGGCCUGUGUGUAUAUAUGUAAAGCUAUAUCUUUUACAAAUCCA
RNAcentral lists this long non-coding RNA (677 nucleotides) under Jatropha curcas. RNAcentral's name for it is "long non-coding RNA (JCUR_LNC002303)". Lineage: Eukaryota; Viridiplantae; Streptophyta; Magnoliopsida; Malpighiales; Euphorbiaceae. The record is from RNAcentral.